GUGGAUGUCUUCCACGGUAAAU
This 22-nucleotide microRNA is filed under the name Panagrellus redivivus. RNAcentral's name for it is "prd-miR-39-5p". Its record names the gene prd-miR-39-5p. Lineage: Eukaryota; Metazoa; Nematoda; Chromadorea; Rhabditida; Panagrolaimidae. The record is from miRBase by way of RNAcentral.